UGAUUGCUCACACCAAAGCCUUGGACCC
RNAcentral lists this non-coding RNA (28 nucleotides) under Homo sapiens (human). Lineage: Eukaryota; Metazoa; Chordata; Mammalia; Primates; Hominidae. The record is from RNAcentral.